RNAcentral lists this ribosomal RNA (484 nucleotides) under uncultured bacterium. Its description in RNAcentral is "bacterial SSU rRNA". It matches the Rfam family "Bacterial small subunit ribosomal RNA", at positions 30 to 491 of the family's 1533-position model. The record is from RNAcentral.
AUUGAACGCUGGCGGCAGGCCUAACACAUGCAAGUCGAGCGGCAGCGACAACAUUGAACCUUCGGGGGAUUUGUUGGGCGGCGAGCGGCGGACGGGUGAGUAAUGCUUAGGAAUUUGCCCAGUCGAGGGGGACAACAGUUGGAAACGACUGCUAAUACCGCAUACGCCCUACGGGGGAAAGCAGGGGCUCUUCGGACCUUGCGCGAUUGGAUAAGCCUAAGUGAGAUUAGCUAGUUGGUGAGGUAAUGGCUCACCAAGGCGACGAUCUCUAGCUGGUUUGAGAGGAUGAUCAGCCACACUGGGACUGAGACACGGCCCAGACUCCUACGGGAGGCAGCAGUGGGGAAUAUUGCACAAUGGGCGAAAGCCUGAUGCAGCCAUGCCGCGUGUGUGAAGAAGGCCUUCGGGUUGUAAAGCACUUUCAGCGAGGAGGAAAGGUUAGUGGUUAAUACCCGCUAGCUGUGACGUUACUCGCAGAAGAAGC